CGGCGGACGGGUGAGUAACGCGUGGACAACCUGCCCUAUGCAGGGGGAUAACAUCCGGAAACGGGUGCUAAUACCGCAUAAGCGCACAGUACCGCAUGGUACGGUGUGAAAAGCUGAGGCGGCAUAGGAUGGGUCCGCGUUGGAUUAGGCAGUUGGCGGGGUAACGGCCCACCAAACCGACGAUCCAUAGCCGGCCUGAGAGGGUGGACGGCCUCAUUGGGACUGAGACACGGCCCAGACUCCUACGGGAGGCAGCAG
RNAcentral lists this ribosomal RNA (258 nucleotides) under uncultured bacterium. RNAcentral describes it as "partial 16S ribosomal RNA". It matches the Rfam family "Bacterial small subunit ribosomal RNA", at positions 96 to 354 of the family's 1533-position model. The record is from RNAcentral.